AGAGUUUGAUCAUGGCUCAGGACGAACGCUGGCGGCGUGCCUAACACAUGCAAGUCGAGCGAAGUGACUCAGAGAGAAGUUUUCGGAUGGAUCGAAGAGUCAUCUUAGCGGCGGACGGGUGAGUAACGCGUGAGAAACCUGCCUUUCACAAAGGGAUAGCCUCGGGAAACUGGGAUUAAUACCUUAUGAAACUGAAUUACCGCAUGGUAGAUCAGUCAAAGCGAAUAAGCGGUGAAAGAUGGUCUCGCGUCCUAUUAGCUAGUUGGUGAGGUAACGGCUCACCAAGGCUUCGAUAGGUAGCCGGCCUGAGAGGGUGAACGGCCACACUGGAACUGAGACACGGUCCAGACUCCUACGGGAGGCAGCAGUGGGGAAUAUUGCACAAUGGAGGAAACUCUGAUGCAGCGACGCCGCGUGAAUGAUGAAGGCCUUCGGGUUGUAAAGUUCUGUCCUUGGGGAAGAUAAUGACGGUACCCAAGGAGGAAGCCCCGGCUAACUACGUGCCAGCAGCCGCGGUAAUACGUAGGGGGCGAGCGUUGUCCGGAAUUAUUGGGCGUAAAGGGUUCGCAGGCGGUCUGAUAAGUCAGAUGUGAAAGGCGUAGGCUCAACCUACGUAAGCAUUUGAAACUGUCAGACUUGAGUUAAGGAGAGGAAAGUGGAAUUCCUAGUGUAGCGGUGAAAUGCGUAGAUAUUAGGAGGAAUACCAGUGGCGAAGGCGACUUUCUGGACUUAUACUGACGCUGAGGAACGAAAGCGUGGGGAGCAAACAGGAUUAGAUACCCUGGUAGUCCACGCCGUAAACGAUGAGUGCUAGGUGUUGGGGGUCAAACCUCGGUGCCGCAGCUAACGCAUUAAGCACUCCGCCUGGGGAGUACGUACGCAAGUAUGAAACUCAAAUGAAUUGACGG
This 908-nucleotide ribosomal RNA is filed under the name Soehngenia sp. enrichment culture clone B312123. RNAcentral's name for it is "bacterial SSU rRNA". It matches the Rfam family "Bacterial small subunit ribosomal RNA", at positions 8 to 916 of the family's 1533-position model. The record is from RNAcentral. Lineage: Bacteria; Bacillati; Bacillota; Tissierellia; Tissierellales; Tissierellaceae.